UACGUAGGGUGCAAGCGUUAAUCGGAAUUACUGGGCGUAAAGCGUGCGCAGGCGGCUUUGCAAGACAGAUGUGAAAUCCCCGGGCUCAACCUGGGAACUGCAUUUGUGACUGCAUGGCUAGAGUACGGUAGAGGGGGAUGGAAUUCCGCGUGUAGCAGUGAAAUGCGUAGAUAUGCGGAGGAACACCGAUGGCGAAGGCAAUCCCCUGGACCUGUACUGACGCUCAUGCACGAAAGCGUGGGGAGCAAACAGGAUUAGAUACCCUGGUAGUCCACGCCCUAAACGAUGUCAACUGGUUGUUGGACGGCUUGCUGUUCAGUAACGAAGCUAACGCGUGAAGUUGACCGCCUGGGGAGUACGGCCGCAAGGUUGAA
Molecule: ribosomal RNA, 374 nt
Filed under: uncultured bacterium
Lineage: Bacteria
Description: bacterial SSU rRNA
Rfam family: Bacterial small subunit ribosomal RNA
Source: RNAcentral